Molecule: ribosomal RNA, 274 nt
Filed under: uncultured bacterium
Lineage: Bacteria
Description: partial 16S ribosomal RNA
Rfam family: Bacterial small subunit ribosomal RNA
Source: RNAcentral
UAAGUUUGAUGGCGACCGGCGCACGGGUGAGUAACACGUAUCCAACCUGCCGAUGACUCGGGGAUAGCCUUUCGAAAGGAAGAUUAAUACCCGAUGGCAUAGUUCUUCCGCAUGGUGGAACUAUUAAAGAAUUUCGGUCAUCGAUGGGGAUGCGUUCCAUUAGGUUGUUGGCGGGGUAACGGCCCACCAAGCCUUCGAUGGAUAGGGGUUCUGAGAGGAAGGUCCCCCACAUUGGAACUGAGACACGGUCCAAACUCCUACGGGAGGCAGCAUG